This is a long non-coding RNA of Oncorhynchus tshawytscha (Chinook salmon), 659 nucleotides long. Lineage: Eukaryota; Metazoa; Chordata; Actinopteri; Salmoniformes; Salmonidae. The record is from Ensembl.
GAAACACUGGGGUUACUAGGAGGAUAUUAGGGGAAACACUGGGGUUACUAGGGAAAAUGCUGGGGUUACUAGCGGGAUAUUAGGGGAAACACUGGGGUUAUUAGGGGGAUAUUAGGGGAAACUGGGGGGAAACUGGGGAUAUUAGGGAAAACACUGGGGUUACCAGGAGGUUAUUAGGGGAAACACUGGGGUUAUUAGGAGGAUAUUAGGGGAAACACUGGGGUUACUAGGGGGAUAUUAGGGAAAACACUGGGGUUACUAGGGGGAUAUUAGGGAAACGCUGGGGUUACUAGUGUCACGCCCUGGUCAAAGUAUUUUGUGUUUAUCUUCAUUUAUUUGGUCAGGCCAGGGUGUGGCAUGGGUUUUUGUAUGUGGUGUGUAUGUAUUGGGAUUGUAGCUUAGUGGGGUUGUCUAGUAAAGACUAUGGCUGCCUGAGGCGGUUCUCAAUCAGAGUCAGGUGAUCGUUGUCUCUGAUUGGGAACCAUAUUUAGGCAGCCAUAUUCUUUGAGUUUUUCGUGGGUGAUUGUCCUUAGUGUCCUUGUUCCUGUCUCUGUGUUAGUUUACACUAGUAUAGGCUGUUUCGGUUUUCCUUACGUUUAUUGUUUUGUAGUGUUUGUAUUUAGAUUCGUGUUACGUUUGUUCAUUAAAAAUGGAUCGCA